RNAcentral lists this long non-coding RNA (315 nucleotides) under Daucus carota (carrot). RNAcentral describes it as "long non-coding RNA (DCAR_LNC001081)". Lineage: Eukaryota; Viridiplantae; Streptophyta; Magnoliopsida; Apiales; Apiaceae. The record is from RNAcentral.
CAGGCUGGAGCGCAUGUAUUGCAGUCUGCAGGAUCAGAUACUUGGUGAGUUGAUGUGCCUGAGAUAUUAUACUACUUAAGUAGAUUUGUUUAAACUUUCAAUGGUUGUAAUUUGUCAUAUUUUUUGUAGAUUCUAAUGCAAAUGCAAGUCAUAGUGCAGAGAUGAUUGAGUACAAGCGAAAAUAUAACGGACAGACCCACGACCAUGACUGGCACUGUUAUUAAGCGGCGUAAAUCAAGGACAUCCCUACUAUUUUGAAUUUAGAGAUUUAGUCAAGCUUGAAACCUCAUCGCUGGUGAGCUCUCAAACAUUACA